GAUGAACGCUGGCGGCGUGCCUAAUACAUGCAAGUCGAACGGGGAAAGUCUUCGGAUGAGUACUAGUGGCGCACGGGUGAGGAACACGUAGAUAAUCUGCCCCUAGGCGGGGAAUAACUGGUCGAAAGAUCAGCUAAUACCGCAUAAGACCACGACUUCUGAGGAAGGUGGGGUUAAAGGCUUCGGCCACCUAGGGAUGAGUCUGCGUCCGAUUAGCUAGUUGGUGAGGUAAGAGCUCACCAAGGCGACGAUCGGUAACUGGUCUGAGAGGAUGACCAGUCACACUGGGACUGAGAUACGGCCGAGACUCCUACGGGAGGCAGCAGUAGGGAAUAUUGCACAAUGGAGGAAACUCUGAUGCAGCGACGCCGCGUGAGUGAUGAAGGCCCUCGGGUUGUAAAGCUCUGUUCUUAGGGAAUAAAAAAUGAAGGUACCUAAGGAGAAAGGACCGGCUAACUUCGUGCCAGCCGCCGCGGUAA
This 479-nucleotide ribosomal RNA is filed under the name uncultured bacterium. RNAcentral describes it as "partial 16S ribosomal RNA". It matches the Rfam family "Bacterial small subunit ribosomal RNA", at positions 28 to 523 of the family's 1533-position model. The record is from RNAcentral.